Molecule: ribosomal RNA, 492 nt
Filed under: uncultured bacterium
Lineage: Bacteria
Description: partial 16S ribosomal RNA
Rfam family: Bacterial small subunit ribosomal RNA
Source: RNAcentral
AGUGAACGCUGUCGGUAGGCCUAACACAUGCAAGUCGAACGGCAGCACCAUAAGAGCUUGCUCUUACGGGUGUCGAGUGGCGUACGGGUGAGGAAUACGUCGGAAUCUACUUUUUCGUGGGGGAUAACGUAGGGAAACUUACGCUAAUACCGCAUACGACCUACGGGUGAAAGCAGGGGAUCUUCGGACCUUGCGCGAUUGAAUGAGCCGAUGUCGGAUUAGCUAGUUGGCGGGGUAAAGGCCCACCAAGGCGACGAUCCGUAGCUGGUCUGAGAGGAUGAACAGACACACUGGAACUGAGACAACGUCCAGACUCCAAAGGGAGGGAGCAGUGGGGAAUAUUGGACAAUGGGAGCAAGUCUGAUCCAGGGAAAACGUGUGGGAGAAGAAGGCCGUAGGGUAGGAAAGCCCGUUGGUGGGGAAAGAAAAGCAGAAGGUGAAUAGCGUGCAGUUCUGAAGGUACCAAAAGAAUAAGCACAGGUUAACUUAGUG